ACAACGCCCUGAACUCCACUUCUUGGCUUUCGGCAGGAAUCGUGCCAUCGUCCCCAACUGACCUCGGCUUCCACCUCCUUCUCAGUUCUUUGUCGACUUCUUGAAUCCAAUGGCUCCCAGAAUUGAGCAAGAAUUAUUUCCUCUAUGCGCACCAGCGAACCGUAUAAAAAGGGUUGUCCCCCAAUGGGUUACACCAGAAGCACCCGAUCCUCUGAAAUCAUCUCUUCGGAUCCAGUAGGAAGCCAGAUCUUACCCAACCAGCUUCAAGAUGUCUCUGCUGAAUGACGGUCUCUUGAUGGAGGACUUCUAUGACCCAGAAAUGGAAGGCCUGGACUCCUUCUAUCGGUAUCCGUACUGCUACCGACCCCAUCAGCGUAGCUGCUACUAUCCCAGGGGUUAUGGUUAUGGCUACGGCUACGGCUCCAGGUGGCGUCCUGGCUACGGUUGGCCACAGUAUCCGCAGUACUGCCCCCCACAGUAUUAUGGCCCCGGUCGCUGGCCAUGUUACUACCCCGGUAAGAGGUGGCCAUGUUAAGGCCAGAUGCAACAUUGAUGAUCCAGGAAAGGAGAGGCAGGAUUCUGACCCCUAGCUGAAUGAAAUGACACAGUAGUCUGAAUUGCUGAGCGCUCCAGAGGUCCUACUGUUCAGCCAGUGGGAUCUGUGAGGUCUCCGCACUUCUGUUAAUGCUUCACGCUUGGACUUUAUUCCUUUGGUUUCCCCUGUUUCCUGUCAUCUUGUAUCUCAGCUGUUGGUGCUAAGCUAGGACUCUCUACCAAAAUGUGUUUCAGCAGCGCUUGGCUGAAGGAGGCUCAUCACAUAAUAGCAAGGGGGAGGCCAACUCUGCUUUUUUUUGUUGCCUCAAUCCACGAUGACGUAUAUCAGCUUCCCAAGAAACAAGAUGUUUCAUUUCUCUGUGACAGCUGCAUGUUUUUCAUCUGCCAUGGGCCAUUUCCACCGGCUCCGUCCUUUAUAUCCUCAAUAAAAAUUUCAGCAUCUCAUAGAGCAAAA
This is a non-coding RNA of Zootoca vivipara (common lizard), 1009 nucleotides long. The record is from RefSeq and is a predicted model, not a curated record. NCBI's taxonomy places the organism in Eukaryota, Metazoa, Chordata, Lepidosauria, Squamata, Lacertidae.